This 789-nucleotide ribosomal RNA is filed under the name uncultured bacterium. RNAcentral's name for it is "bacterial SSU rRNA". It matches the Rfam family "Bacterial small subunit ribosomal RNA", at positions 90 to 880 of the family's 1533-position model. The record is from RNAcentral.
GGCGAUCCGCGCACCGGGUGAGUAACACGUAUGCAACCUACCCAUAACUUGGGAUAGCCCGCUGAAAAGCGGAUUAAUACCUGAAUGACACAGGAUACCGCAUGGUAUAUUUGUUAAAGAUUUAUCGGUUAUGGAUGGGCAUGCGCGGGAUUAGUUAGUUGGUAAGGUAACGGCUUACCAAGGCAGCGAUCCUUAGGGGAACUGAGAGGUUUAUCCCCCACACUGGUACUGAGACACGGACCAGACUCCUACGGGAGGCAGCAGUGAGGAAUAUUGGUCAAUGGGCGAGAGCCUGAACCAGCCAAGUCGCGUGAAGGAAGACGGUAUUAUGUAUUGUAAACUUCUUUUAUAGGGGAAUAAAGUGUCGGACGUGUCCGAUUUUGUAUGUACCCUAUGAAUAAGCAUCGGCUAACUCCGUGCCAGCAGCCGCGGUAAUACGGAGGAUGCGAGCGUUAUCCGGAUUUAUUGGGUUUAAAGGGUGCGUAGGUGGACUGGUCAGUCAGUGGUGAAAUCCCGGUGCUUAACAUCGGAACUGCCAUUGAAACUUCCAGUCUUGAGUGUGAUCGGGGUAGGCGGAAUUCGUAGUGUAGCGGUGAAAUGCAUAGAUAUUACGAAGAACACCGAUAGCGUAGGCAGCUUACCAGAACACAACUGACACUGAGGCACGAAAGUGUGGGUAUCAAACAGGAUUAGAUACCCUGGUAGUCCACACAGUAAACGAUGAAUACUAGGUGUUUGCGAUAUACCGUAAGCGGCCGAGCGAAAGCGUUAAGUAUUCCACCUGGGGAC